Long non-coding RNA from Pan troglodytes (chimpanzee), 3043 nucleotides. RefSeq lists it as uncharacterized. The record is from RefSeq and is a predicted model, not a curated record. Lineage: Eukaryota; Metazoa; Chordata; Mammalia; Primates; Hominidae. The transcript has 2 exons.
UCCCAGUUCUGGGCGCGCAACCCGCUGCAGUCAACAGCCCCUUUCUGGGCGGGGAUCUGUCCUGGCCGGAUGGGAGGAGGGAAGUGAAAAAAGCUCCCAGAAGUCUCUAAAUCAGUUUCAGUCUCGAGGUCCCCGGGCUGCUUCUUAUUUAUGAUCAGAUCAAGGGUAUAAGGUGUCAGUGGGGGCAGCCAGCAGUCAUAGGCCAGAGAGGGGCGACUGCCCGUCCCAAGGGCUUGUCACAGGGUAAGUAACCGACAGACUGGGAAAGGAAGGAGGCAAUCUUCAGCCACUCGGUCACUCAUUCUAAAUUCACUCUCAUUUUUUGGGCAUCUAUUGUGCAAGCCCUGUGGACUUAAAAAGAGAAAUAAGACGCCGUCCCUGCCCUCGGGAACUCCCGGCGCAUCUGCCCCAACAACUCACUGAAGCCGCCUGCAGGACGCCUGAGUGAGGACAAGGUGUCUCACUCAGAAAAUUUGCUUGAUUCUUCCUGGCAAGUGGGACAGGGUGAGCUUCCCGGAGGAGGGGACCUUCGAGCUGUGUAGCGGGGAAGAUGCAGUUUCGCCACGUUGGCCAGGCUGGUCUAGAACUCCUGACCUCAAGUGAUCUACCCUCCUCGGCCUCCCAAAGUGCUGGGAUUAGAGGUGUGCACCACUGCCCCCAGCCCAUGAGCCACUGCACCCAGCUCAAUAAGCACUUUAAAAGAAGACCUGGACAUCAGAGCCUCUCUCCUGCUGGUUUUGAAGAAGCAAGCUGCCACGAGUCUACAGCUGUAAGGAAAUGAAUUGUGCCAACGAUCCCACGUGCUUGAAAGAGGACCCUGAACCUCAGAUGAGACCCAGUCCCAGGAGACAGAUUGAGUGCUGCCUUUCAGGACCCUGAACAGAGGAGCCAGUUGAACCAUCGACAGGCUCCUGACCCACAGAAACUGUGAGACAAUAAACGUGUAUUGUCUUAAGCUCCUAAGUGUGGGGUCAUUUGUUACACAGCAAUAAAAGGUUUGUAAGAAGGUCAGAUGUGCCCUGACUUCCCUGCUUUGGUUCAGCCCUACUGCCUGCGUCUCUGAAGCUGGGAGGUGGGGCUGGGAUCACAGCUCAGGGUGAUGCGACAAUGAGAAAGAAAAUUAAAAUCCAAGAUGGAGCGAUUCAAAACUGUAAUCUCGGCAAACAGUGGCACUUAGAUUUCCCAUUAUUGAUCCCCUCCGCGGAUAUUCUCCAGUCUCGUAAUUACAGGAGGACUUUUUCAAUUUGGGCUGAAAUGCUUCCCCUCCCCCCAUGCCCCUCCUUUAUUUCUUUAAACUCGCAAUAACACGCUAUAGAUUGUAUGCAGCUGUGGAGUCUAAAUAAACAGAGCUAAUCAUUUUAAUUGAAAUCCGAUCUCAGCAGCAGGAAGGCCCUUCCGUUGUGAUAUUCUCCCCUUUAUCUCCCUAGAGCAGGGAGCAAGUCCUGCUCCUGGCUUGGGCCACUCAGGGACACAGACACACACACACACACACACGCACGCACGCACGCACACACCUUUCUCCACCUCUGCCUUUGCAUCUGUUCAUCCUCCAGGACUUGGUUCAGACAUCACCUCCCUGUCUCUCCUCUUUGCUCCCAGUCCUAGGGCUGACCACCUGCAACCUCCUAAGUCCCCACUGGUUGCUGGGAGAUGCUGACCAGUGCUGGAGCUGGGGGUCAGGCGGGCCCUCCCAAGCACAACCUCUUCAUCCCCCUGCCUCCAGGCACAGGGUAGGCCAGUCUCUGCCCGGAUCCUCCUGACAGCUCACCCACGUCCUUUAUUCACCACGUUUUUGGCCACUGGUAGUUCUCUUCAGCUAAUCUGGGGUUCUCAGACAGAGAAGGGCAAUUUUGUCCCCCUCCCCCAGGAACAUUGGGACACAUUUUUAGUUGUGACAACUUGGGAGGAGAAUUUCCACUGGCAUCUAGUGGGUAGAGGGCAGGGGUGCUGCCAAACAUCCUACAGUGCACAGGAUGGCCCCAUAGCAAAGAACCAUCUGGCCUGAAAUGUCAAUAAAUAGUGUGGAUACUGAGAAACCUCAAGCUAACCUAAGUUCUUCUUCUUUUUUUAUUUUUUGAGUUGGAGUUUCGCUCUUGUUACCCAGGCUAGAGUGUGAUGGCACGAUCUCAGCUCACUGCAACCUCCACCUCCUGGGCACAAGCAAUUCUCCUGCCUUAGCCUCCCAAGUAGCUUGGAUUACAGGCACUGAUCACCAUGCCCAGCUAAUUUUUGUAGUUUUUAGUAGAGACUGGGUUUCACCAUGUUGGUCAGGGUGGUCUCAAUCUCCUGACCUCAGGUGAUCCUCCCGCCUCGGCAUCCCAAAGUGCUGGGAUUACAAGUGUGAGCCACCCCGCCUGGCCCCUAAGUUCUUCUUGAACUCAUGUAAUUUCGCAGAAUGGAAAGAUUAAUAGCCAGAGAUGGAAGGAACCAACAAACCAGGAUGAUGACACACACGGCACACACAUGCACACACGCAUGCACACACGCAUGCACACACAUGCACGCACAUGCAUGCGCACACGUGCGUGCACACACGCACACGCACACACAUGCACACACACGCGCAGACACACACAAAUGCACACACAUGCACGCACAUCACACACACGCACACACUCGCACGCACACACGCACACACGUGCACAUGCACACACGCACGCACCCCCCUCUUUCUCCACCUCUGUCUUCACGUCUCUUCAUCCUCCAGGACUUGGUUCAGACAUCACUUCCUCUUAGAGUCUUCUCCAAGCUGUGGGUUGUGUGACAUGUCCCUCCUCUGUGCCCCCUGAGUCCCCCAUAUAUGUGAUUUCCUUAACAUUGACCAUCCCCAGUGACAUUACAAAGUUUUCAUGCAAAACUGAUAUGAUGACAAAGGUCAGGACAAUGGUCACCUUGGGGGUGGGGAGUGGCUGGGAAGGACUUUUGGGCUUCUGCGGGGGGUGUUCUGUUCUGUUUUAUUUCUUGCUCUGGGAGCUGCUUUGCUGUAAGGUUCACCUUGUGAAAAUUUGCCUUGCUAAAUAAACACUAUCACCCGUGCAUUUUA